RNAcentral lists this ribosomal RNA (292 nucleotides) under uncultured bacterium. RNAcentral describes it as "partial 16S ribosomal RNA". It matches the Rfam family "Bacterial small subunit ribosomal RNA", at positions 505 to 796 of the family's 1533-position model. The record is from RNAcentral.
GUGUCAGCAGCCGCGGUAAUACAGAGGUGUCAAACGUUGUCCGGAAUUAUUGGGCGUAAAGGGCGCGUAGGCGGCCGGGUAAGUGAGAUGUGAAAGCUCUGGGCUCAACCCAGGAAUUGCAUUUCAUACUGCUCGGCUUGAGAUUGGUAGAGGAUGGCGGAAUUCCAGGUGUAGCGGUGAAAUGCGUAGAUAUCUGGAGGAACACCUGUGGCGAAGGCGGCUAUCUGGUCCAAUUCUGACGCUGAGGCGCGAAAGGUAGGGGAGCAAACAGGAUUAGAAACCCGUGUAGUCC